GAUGAACGCUGGCGGCGUGCCUAAUACAUGCAAGUCGAGCGAACAGACGAGGAGCUUGCUCCUCUGACGUUAGCGGCGGACGGGUGAGUAACACGUGGAUAACCUACCUAUAAGACUGGGAUAACUUCGGGAAACCGGAGCUAAUACCGGAUAAUAUAUUGAACCGCAUGGUUCAAUAGUGAAAGACGGUUUUGCUGUCACUUAUAGAUGGAUCCGCGCCGCAUUAGCUAGUUGGUGAGAUAACGGCUUACCAAGGCAACGAUGCGUAGCCGACCUGAGAGGGUGAUCGGCCACACUGGAACUGAGACACGGUCCAGACUCCUACGGGAGGCAGCAGUAGGGAAUCUUCCGCAAUGGGCGAAAGCCUGACGGAGCAACGCCGCGUGAGUGAUGAAGGUCUUCGGAUCGUAAAACUCUGUUAUUAGGGAAGAACAAAUGUGUAAGUAACUAUGCACGUCUUGACGGUACCUAAUCAGAAAGCCACGGCUAACUACGUG
Molecule: ribosomal RNA, 497 nt
Filed under: uncultured bacterium
Lineage: Bacteria
Description: partial 16S ribosomal RNA
Rfam family: Bacterial small subunit ribosomal RNA
Source: RNAcentral